Molecule: ribosomal RNA, 486 nt
Filed under: uncultured bacterium
Lineage: Bacteria
Description: bacterial SSU rRNA
Rfam family: Bacterial small subunit ribosomal RNA
Source: RNAcentral
GAUGAACGCUAGCUACAGGCUUAACACAUGCAAGUCGAGGGGCAGCGCAGUGUAGCAAUACACGGGUGGCGACCGGCGCACGGGUGCGUAACGCGUAUCCAACCUUCCCGAUACUCUUGGAUAGCCUUCCGAAAGGGAGAUUAAUACAAGAUGGUGUUUCACUUUCGCAUGUUAUUGAAACUAAAGAUUUAUCGGUAUCGGAUGGGGAUGCGUGACAUUAGAUAGUAGGCGGGGUAACGGCCCACCUAGUCUACGAUGUCUAGGGGUUCUGAGAGGAAGGUCCCCCACACUGGAACUGAGACACGGUCCAGACUCCUACGGGAGGCAGCAGUGAGGAAUAUUGGUCAAUGGUCGGAAGACUGAACCAGCCAAGUAGCGUGAAGGAUGAAGGUUCUAUGGAUUGUAAACUUCUUUUAUACGGGAAUAAAACCUCCCACGUGUGGGAGCUUGUAUGUACCGUAUGAAUAAGCAUCGGCUAACUCCGUG